Molecule: long non-coding RNA, 972 nt
Organism: Sebastes umbrosus (honeycomb rockfish)
Lineage: Eukaryota; Metazoa; Chordata; Actinopteri; Perciformes; Sebastidae
Exons: 4
Source: RefSeq, a predicted model, not a curated record
AACAGGUUGAUCAGUUAAACAUUAAAAACUUAGAUGAAAUGAAGUUGGAAAAUCAUGUCUCCUUACUGUUUAAGUACCUGUUAGUACAUUUUAAGUGUUUUAUUCCUGUUUGAAGGUGAAUAGAUGUUGGUGAAAUUGGCUAAUGUCAACUGAGUUUGCAUCAAUUGCGUUGGGAGGCACAGCUCGGCCUGUGCCAGCCUCCAGUUAGCUUCACUGUCACACCUUGUUGACACACAGAGGAAAAACUUGCUCAGUCACUACUCUCAGUCACUACUGGAUGGAUCCACAGCAGGAUCAAUGGGCAGCCGCUGUCCAGCCUGCAGUCUCAACGACCCGAAAGGCUCCAAUGAUGGUUGAACUACAGAGUAAGAUCAAAAGAAAAGGAAGAAAGAAAUGGCUGCUGAAGACCUGUCUCUUCCUCCUGGUAUUCGCUUUCCUCAUGGUAUUAGUUGGCAAAGAAGACAAUGAUGCACACGCCUAUGAUGUUUCGUGGUUGUUGGGAUUUUUGCUGUCUACUGUUUGGUUGCUCCUGCGUUUUCUCCAGAUGUUCCUCUGGUUUAUCAACGGUCUGCUGAAGUCCAUACCCCCGCUGUGUCAGUGUUCGUCGUUCCUCCUGUCCUACGUUCUACUGCUGCUACAUUACACAUGUGAUGCUGUGUUUUUUGCAGCUGCCAAUCCUGGGCUUGUUUGUGACAUGCUUCUCAGGACCAUUUUACUGCUCGUUUUCACCAUGUUAACGUAUAGAUAUAGACGUGAAAUAUAUGCUAUAAUUCAAGAUCCUCAAGAAUUGCAACGUGUGAUUGAUAUCAUUGUAUUCGUUUUUCGGGUGUUUUUUGGUUUGGUUUUUUUGGUGGUUUUUUUUGUGUUUUUUAUAGUUUUUUUACUUAUUGUUAACGCGAACAAUGAUGCACAGGCCGGUCAAAAGAGGGCGCUAUGGUGGCCCCCCCCUCCCCCCUGAGCCAGACAGCCACA